RNAcentral lists this ribosomal RNA (84 nucleotides) under Crocinitomicaceae bacterium. Lineage: Bacteria; Pseudomonadati; Bacteroidota; Flavobacteriia; Flavobacteriales; Crocinitomicaceae. The record is from RNAcentral.
UUCCCAUUUCGAACAGAGAAGUUAAGCCUGCUUGCGCUGAUGGUACUGUCCUUUUGAGGAUGGGAGAGUAAGUCGACGCCGAUU